CUUCCUUCUAGCUAAUAGAAUAUGGAAAAGAUGAAAGGGUUUGGCAGAUGUACUUAACUGAAUUGAGUUGCUUUUGAGUUCAUCAAAAGGGAGAAUAUCUUGGGUGAGCUUGGUUUAAUUAAUAGAAGCCCUUGGAAGAGGGAUUUGGCCCUUUUGGAGGCUAGAGCCUCUGUCCUGCUGGCCUUGCAGAAGCAAGCAACUAUGUUGUGAUCAGCCCCUGGAGAGGGUCAUGUGGCAGGAAAUGGUAGGUGGCUCCAGGACCUGAGGGAAGACAGCAGUCAGCAAGACACAGGGUGCCUUCCAUCAUCGGUUGCAAGGAAAUGAAUUCUGCCAAGUUGGACGAGCUUGACAGCAGAUUAUUCCCCACUCGCACCUCCAGAUGAGAAUGCAGCCUCUCCCUCCAACACCUUGAAUGUAACCCCAAGAGACCCUGAGCAGAAGACACAGCCAAGCAGUGCCCAGACUUCGCCAAUGGAAACUGUGGAAGAAUAAAUGUGUGCUGUUGGGAGCUGAUAAAUUUGUGACCAUUUGUUGUGCAGUGUCUUAGUUUCUUUGGGAUGUUAUAACAAAAUAUCUUAGACUGGGUAAUUUAUAAAUGACAGAAAUUUAUUUCUCAUGGUUCUAGAGACUGGGGAGUCCAAUAUAAAGUCCCCAGCAGAUUCAGUGCUUGGUCAGGGCUCACUCUUGCUUCAUAGUUGCCCACUUGCUGUGCCACCAUGUGGCAGAUGGAGUGAACAGCUGCCUCAAACCUUUUUUUUUAAAGUUAUUAUUAUUAUUAUUAUUUUUUAUUUUUUAUUUUUUGAGACAGUCUUGCUGUGUCGCCCAGACUGGAGUGCAAUGGUGUGAUUUUGGCUCACUGCAACCUCCUGCAGCCUCCGUCUCCAGGGUUCAAGCAAUCCUCCUGCCUCAGCCUCCCGAGUAGCUGGGAUUACAGGCAUGUGCCAUCAUGUCUGGCUGAUUUUUCUAUUUUUAGUAGAGACGGGGUUUCACCAUGUUGGCCAGGCUGGUCUCGAACUCCUCACCUUACGUGAUCUGCCCGCCUCAGCCUCCCAAAGUGCUGGGAUUACAGGCAUGAGCCACUGUGCCCGGCCUAUGUUUUUCUUUUUUUUUUUUUGAGACAGAGUCUCACUCUGUUGCCCAGGAUGGAGUGCAGUGGUGUGAUCUUGGCUCACUGCAAGCUCCGCCUCCCAGGUUCACGCCAUUCUCCUGCCUCAGCCUCCCGAGUAGCUGGGACUAUAGGCGCCCGCCACCACGCCUGGCUAAUUUUUUGUAUUUUUAGUAGAGAUGGGGUUUCACCGUGUUAGCCAGGACAGUCUCGAUCUCCUGACCUUGUGAUCCGCCCAUCUCAGCCUCCCAUAGUGCUGGGAUUACAGGCGUGAGCCACCACACCUGGCCGUUUUUCUUAAUUUGACAUCCUGUAGAUCAAUAGGCAUAUUUUAUCUUUGGCUGCUUGUGGAAGCCUUUUCAUACCACAAUCAAAUUCUCCUUCUUGUUUCUCUGAAUCACUUCCACCGUCUGCCCCCAUCUCUGACCUUUCACGGGUGCUUACUGAACACUUACAGUACCUAAAGAUCUAUGCCUGGCAGUGAAGGAGCUGGUCAAACUGUGCAUUAAGAAAUCCACAUUCCUGGCCAGAGAGAGCCUUGAGCGGGAGGCCUGUAGGGACACAACACCAUUUACCCACCAUGGGACAUGGAUAUGGCCCCUGGUGACUUGUUUAAAGAAAGACAGAAGGAACAGGAGGAAUUCAUGUCAUCCCAGGCAUCCAUCCCAGCCCUGCUGCUGAGCUGAUGAGCUCGAAGGGACAAUGACUGGGUUUUUGACAGUUCAGUACGUGAAAGAAUUCAAAUUUACAGCUGUUGGAAUUUUAAAUUAUUCUGACCCUUGAGAGGAAUGUGGCUAGGUGGCUUGACUCACACAUGGCAUACAGCUUUUUUUUUUUUUUUGAGACAGAGUCUUGCUCUGUUGCCCAGGCUAGAGUGCAGUGGCACAAUCUCGGCUCACUGCAACCUCCGCCCCCCGGGUUCAAGUGAUUCUCCUGCCUCAGCCUCCCAAGUAGCUGGGAUUACAGGCGCCCACCACCAUGCCCAGCUAAUUUUUGUAUUUUUAGUAAAGACGGGGUUUCACCAUGUUGGCCAGGCUGGUCUCGCACUCCCGACCUUGUGAUCCACCCGCCUCGGACUCCCAAAGUGUUGGAAUUAUAGGCAUGAGCCACCGUGCCUGGCAACUUCUGCCUUUUUUUUUUUCUGUAAAUAAUUAGGACGACUAGGCUGGGUGUGGUGGCUCAUGCCUAUACCCACUGCUUUGGGAGGCUGAGGCAGGACAAUGGCUAGAGCCCAGGAGUUCCAGACCAGCCAGGGCAACAUAGUGAGACCCUGUCUCUAUAAAAUUGUUUUUAAUAAAUAAAUAAUUAGGAAGACUAAACAGAGCCAGAGAUAAGACCCUCACAGAUUACGAUCCCUACAGAGGGAGUAAUAAAUUAUCUUCCCUGAAACUACACCAAUAAAAUUGCUGUAAUGUAUACACUGGGCUCGUAUGGAAAAUGUAAUCCUGGCCGGGCGUGGUGGCUCAUGGCUGUAAUCCCAGCACUUUGGGAGGCCAAAGCAAGCAGAUAGCUUCAGUUCAGGAGUUCGAGACCAGCCUGGGGAACAUGGUAAAACCCCAUCUUUACUAAAAAUAGAGAAAAAAUAGCUGGGUGUGGUGGUGUAUGCCUGUAGUCCCAGCUACUCGGGAGGCUGAGGUAUGAGAAACACUUGAACUUGAGAGGCGGAGGCUGCAGUGAGCUGAGAUAGCGCCACUGCACUCCAGCCUGAGUGACAGGGCGAGACUCUGUCUCAAAAGAAAAAAAAAAAAAAAAGGCGGAUGCAGUGGCUUACGACUGUGAUUCCAACACUUUGGGAGGCCAAGGUGGGCGGAUCAACUGAGGUCAGGGGUUCAAGACUAGCCUCGCCAACAUGGUGAAACCCCAUCUCUACUAAAAAUACAAAAAUUACCCGGGCAUGGUGGCGGGUGCUGUAAUCCCAGCUACUCAGGAGGCUGAGGCAGGAGAAUCACUUGAACCCAGGAGGCGGAGGUUGCAGUGAGCCAAGACCGCGCCACUGCACUCCAGCCUGGGCGACAGAGACUCCAUCUCAAAUAAGAUAAUAAUAAUAAUAAUAAAUAAAAAAUAAAAGAAAGUAAAGGAAUAAAAGAAUGACUACUCCACAGCCAGAGCAGCAGCAUGAGCUGCUGGACUGAGUAUACUUAUAGUUAUUUCUUGGUUCUAUGGUAAACAAGGGGUGGAUUAUUCAUGAGUUUUCCAGGAAAGCAGAGGGCAAUUCCUGGAACUAAGGUUUCCCCUCCUUUUCAGACCAUAUAGGGUAACUUCCUGACGUUGCCAUGGCAUCUAUAAACUGUCACAGCACCGGUAGGAGUGUCUUUUAGCAUGCUAAUGUAUUAUAAUUAGAGUAUAAUGAGCGGUGAGGACAACCAGAAGUCACUUUCAUCACCAUCGUGGUUUUGGCUGGCUUCUUUACCGCAUCCUCUUCUAUCAGCAGGGGCUUUGUGACCUGUAUCUUGUGAUACCAAACCUGCUGACCUCCUAUUUCAUCCUGUGACCAAGAAUGCCCAACCUCCUGGGGAUGGAGCCCAGCAGUUCUCAGCCUCAUUUUACCCAGCCCCUGUUCAAGAUGGAGUCGCUCGGGUUCAAACACUUCUGACCCUUGUACUGUGGCACUGACCUGAUCAAUGUAUCCUACUGUGAAAGGAAAAUAAAUCUCGGGACCCCAAGAUCACUACGCCAAAGAGAAAAGUCAAGCUGAGGGUCGCAUCAGACAAACCUGCCUCCCGUUUUAUUCUUCAAUAAGAUAGCUAGAAAGUUCAAAAGAGCUACAUACCCCCCUCACAAUUUCUCCACAAGCAAAUUCCUUUCGGGCCUCAAGAUCUUUGCCCUAAAACAGUUCUGAUGAAUUUUCCCUGGCAAUGUAAAUUGAUAGCUUAUCUUCACAGGUACAAUGCAGAAAGUCAGCCCUCCGCUCACUGAAGACAAAUGCAUAUGUGAUUUCUUCCUCUGUCCUAUUGUUUAUACAAAAUGCAGAUUCACUGAGCCAGACAGUGAGUAAGGCAUAUGUGACUAUUCCUCUACCCACUCUCACAUGUAAAUUGUGUAUUCAGUGAAAGGCUGAUCACAGACUCAAAAGAAAGCAAACUUUUGGCCGGGCAUGCUGGCUCACGCCUAUAAUCCCAGCACUUUGGGAGGCUGAGAUGGGUGGAUUACCUGAGGUCAGGAGUUCAAGACCAGCCUGGCCAACAUGGUGAGAUCCUGUCUCUACUAAAAAUAAAAAAAUUAGCCUGGCGUGGUGGCACACACCUGUAGUCCCAGCUACUCAGGAGGCUGAGAAAGGAGAAUCGCUUGAACCUGGGAGGUGGAGGUUGCAGUGAGCUGAGAUCUCACCACUGCACUGCAGCCUGGGUGACAGAGUGAGACUCCCUCUCAAAAAAAAAAAAAAAAAAAAAGAACUCGGGAUAGGGGGACAUGGGUCCCCAAGCCCCUGAAUUCAGGAAAACUAUAUUGAACUUUGUCACCACACAUGAAAACUGCAAGGGGCCACAGAAAGCUCCUAAUUCAAUGCCUCUUUUUCAUUUUUUUUCAAUGCCUCUUUUAAUGUGGAAACUAAAGCUAAAGAGGAGAUAAAUGGCUACAGAGUGUCACAGGCAGGACAGAACCCAGGGCUCCCUACCUCUAGACUGUUUCUCCAGCAGUCUA
Molecule: long non-coding RNA, 4744 nt
Filed under: Homo sapiens (human)
Lineage: Eukaryota; Metazoa; Chordata; Mammalia; Primates; Hominidae
Description: HSALNT0342198
Source: RNAcentral